This 662-nucleotide long non-coding RNA is filed under the name Homo sapiens (human). RNAcentral describes it as "non-protein coding lnc-CNTN6-7:1". The record is from RNAcentral. Lineage: Eukaryota; Metazoa; Chordata; Mammalia; Primates; Hominidae.
CAGGAAGGGAGCAGAGGCGAGAGCCAGCCUCCGGCAGGAGGGCGUAGACCCCGGUGCCAGCCAGAACGGCUCCAGCCUUCCCGCGGCCAGAGAGCCAGCGGCGGGAGGGGACGGGCGGGACCUCCGCGGACAGCCCCGGGUGCGGACCAGCGGGCAGCGGCCGGCGAGACCCUCCCUGGAUCCGCCCAGAGCUUACCGGACCCUGCGCGCCCCCGUCCCGGCUCCCGGCCGGCUCGGGGGAGAAGGCGCCCGAGGGGAGGCGCCGGACAGAUCGCGUUUCGGAGGCGGCGCAGGUGCUGUAAACUGCAAACCAUAAUCCUGUCUUAAUACUGCAAACAAAUCAUAGUGGAACUAAGGGGAACUUAAUUUACUGAAUCUCUUGUUUGGAAAUUUCCUCCCAGAAUACCCAACCUCUCAAGAAUUUUAAAACGAUGGAGUAAAAUAAUCUUCAAGCUCUGAUUAGAUUACAACAUAUGAAUGCUAAUUUUGUUUUUACAGGUUUCAACACCCAAAUUUAUCUGAACUUAGGGCACAAUAAGCAGUUUAACUGUUAGAAAUCUUAUGAGAUUGAGUUUGUGCCUAUCAGAUGAAUACAUAUUUGUAUAUAACAUUUCAAUUAUUGCUACAUUUAUGUAUAAUUUAUCCAAAAGCGAUGUUAUCCA